UUCAAGUAUGGUGAUUCAGGUUUGGCCUUGAUCUUGUUACACGAGGAGAAAUUGAUUUACUGAAAAGACCAUUAAACGAUUAAUGGUAAGAUGCAUUUUGUCUGAGAGUAGACGUUAAUGUAAAUCAUUUGAAAUUCAAACUACAAUACGAUAGCCUGAUAAAAUCAAUCAAAAGGACAGUCAUUAUCUCGAAAUGAAAUUCGGUUACCGACACCUGAGGCUCUCUGUCCUAACUUUAAGGAUUCAAUGCCGCGAAAUAUAUUUACAUUGCCAAAUUCUCUACCGUUCGCUCUGAAAUGCUCCAGUGCCCAGGCUUGAGUCAGUUGACUUUGCAGUGUCGAAAUACAGCCAUGGAUAGCACCAAAAAAUUUGCCAACGCCAAGUGCCGUUGGCGAAUUUCGCAACCAGACGCUGGAGCAGCAGUACCGUGCGUAUAAAUAAUGAUGCCAAUUUAUUCAGAAGCUUUAGAACCCGACAUCAAUUAUGAGAAUUGAGACAGAUGAAACAAAUAUUUGCUGACAACAUGCGUGCCUGGAUUGCCGUUGACCACAGGUGGUUGUUACUAAUGAAGCCUUCAUUACGGAAAGAAUUCCUGUACCAAGAGCGUAUCAAAUCGGCAUUCACGUUCUUUCUUUACGUGAAAAAUGAAAUCGAAUCUGGCUUCGAUAGUAGGAAAAUAAAAAAAUCAGAACCUGAUAAAUAUUACGCAGUGAAACUCA
This 719-nucleotide long non-coding RNA is filed under the name Daphnia magna. RNAcentral describes it as "uncharacterized LOC116918267, transcript variant X2". Lineage: Eukaryota; Metazoa; Arthropoda; Branchiopoda; Diplostraca; Daphniidae. The record is from RNAcentral.